This 254-nucleotide ribosomal RNA is filed under the name uncultured bacterium. Its description in RNAcentral is "partial 16S ribosomal RNA". It matches the Rfam family "Bacterial small subunit ribosomal RNA", at positions 524 to 776 of the family's 1533-position model. The record is from RNAcentral.
UACGUAGGGUGCGAGCGUUGUCCGGAAUUAUUGGGCGUAAAGAGCUCGUAGGCGGUUUGUCGCGUCGACUGUGAAAACCUACAGCUUAACUGUGGGCUUGCAGUCGAUACGGGCAUCACUAGAGUUCGGCAGGGGAGACUGGAAUUCCUGGUGUAGCGGUGAAAUGCGCAGAUAUCAGGAGGAACACCGGUGGCGAAGGCGGGUCUCUGGGCCGAUACUGACGCUGAGGAGCGAAAGCAUGGGGAGCGAACAGG